UAGUGAGUUUGAUCCUGGCUCAGGAUGAACGCUAGCGGGAGGCCUAACACAUGCAAGCUGAGCGGUAGAGAUCCUUCGGGAUCUUGAGAGCGGCGUACGGGUGCGGAACACGUGUGCAACCUGCCCCAUACCGGGGAUAGCCUGGCGAAAGCCGGGGUAAACCCGCAUAGUCCCUUUCUGUUUCAUGACAGGCCGGGUAAACAUUUAUGGGUAUGGGAGGGGCUUGCGUCUGAUUAGUUAGUUGGCAGGGUAACGGCCUACCAAGACGAUGAUCAGUAGGGGUUCUGAGAGGAACGGCCCCACAUGGACACUGAGACACGGGGUCCAACUCCUACGGGAGGCAGCAGUGGGGAAUCUUGGACAAUGGGGCGCAAGCCCGAUCCAGCCAUGCCCGCGUGAGUGAA
RNAcentral lists this ribosomal RNA (404 nucleotides) under uncultured Bacteroidota bacterium. Its description in RNAcentral is "bacterial SSU rRNA". It matches the Rfam family "Bacterial small subunit ribosomal RNA", at positions 1 to 409 of the family's 1533-position model. The record is from RNAcentral. Lineage: Bacteria; Pseudomonadati; Bacteroidota.